This 253-nucleotide ribosomal RNA is filed under the name uncultured bacterium. RNAcentral's name for it is "partial 16S ribosomal RNA". It matches the Rfam family "Bacterial small subunit ribosomal RNA", at positions 524 to 776 of the family's 1533-position model. The record is from RNAcentral.
UACGUAGGUGACAAGCGUUGUCCGGAUUUACUGGGCGUAAAGAGCGCGCAGGCGGUCGAUCAAGUCGAGUGUGAAAGCCCCCGGUUCAACUGGGGAGGGUCAUUCGAUACUGAUCGACUCGAAGGCAGGAGAGGGUAGUGGAAUUCCCGGUGUAGUGGUGAAAUGCGUAGAUAUCGGGAGGAACACCAGUGGCGAAGGCGACUACCUGGCCUGUUCUUGACGCUGAGGCGCGAAAGCUAGGGGAGCAAACGGG